RNAcentral lists this ribosomal RNA (734 nucleotides) under uncultured endophytic bacterium. RNAcentral's name for it is "bacterial SSU rRNA". It matches the Rfam family "Bacterial small subunit ribosomal RNA", at positions 771 to 1505 of the family's 1533-position model. The record is from RNAcentral.
AACAGGAUUAGAUACCCUGGUAGUCCAUGCCGUAAACGAUGAGAACUAGAUGCUGGUAGGGGAACCUAUCAGUAUCGAAGCUAACGCGAUAAGUUCUCCGCCUGGGAAGUACGGCCGCAAGGUUGAAACUCAAAUGAAUUGACGGGGGCCCGCACAAGCGGUGGAGCAUGUGGUUUAAUUCGAUGCAACGCGAAGAACCUUACCUACCCUUGACAUCCUGCGAAUCCCGAUGAGAGUUGGGAGUGCCGAAAGGAGCGCAGAGACAGGUGCUGCAUGGUUGUCGUCAGCUCGUGUUGUGAGAUGUUGGGUUAAGUCCCGUAACAAGCGCAACCCUUGUCCUUAGUUGCCAGCAAGUAAAGUUGGGGACUCUAAGGAGACUGCCGGUGAUGAACCGGAGGAAGGCGGGGACGACGUCAAGUCAUCAUGGCCCUUAUGGGUAGGGCUACACACGUGCUACAAUGGGGCGUACAGAGGGUAGCCAACCAGCGAUGGGGAGCCAAUCUCUUAAAGCGUCUCGUAGUCCGGAUUGGAGUCUGCAACUCGACUCCAUGAAGUUGGAAUCGCUAGUAAUCGCGAAUCAGCACUGUCGCGGUGAAUACGUUCCCGGGCCUUGUACACACCGCCCGUCACGUCAUGGGAGUGGAUGGUACCAGAAGCAGAUAGUUUAACCGCAAGGAAGACGUUUGCCACGGUAUGAUUCAUGACUGGACGAAGUCGUAACAAGGUAGCCGUAA